Nothobranchius furzeri (turquoise killifish) is the source of this 3439-nucleotide long non-coding RNA. NCBI's taxonomy places the organism in Eukaryota, Metazoa, Chordata, Actinopteri, Cyprinodontiformes, Nothobranchiidae. The record is from Ensembl.
GCAACCAAUCCUGUUGUCCACCAUCGUGCUGCCCAGACACCAACCUCUAACCGGAGAGCAAAACAGGAAAAAGUCGUAACUUUUUAUUUGAAAAGGCCUCUGGGCAGUGAACGGCCUGCGUCAUGGCAGCCAUCGAUCUGCAGCUUGGGCUGGAACGCAGCGGCCGGGGAUGGGGACCAGAACUGAUGGACAACUUUGACUCUGAGAUGCAGGAGUGGGAGGAUCAGCUGCAGGAUAUCCAGAGGAAAAUAGAAGAGCUGUACAGCGAAGUUCAGGCUCGCAGAGGGGUGAACGAUGUCACUGGUGACAACCAGAAAAAUGGCAGCCCAUUGGAGUGUGGGCUACGGCAUCACAGUGACGGCCUUUUUGGGCCUAGCCGCCACGGUGGGAAUCGCCCUGGAGAUAUCAUCGUACAUCACUGUGGCCCCAACGGGUGCAGCUACCCUGUGAGUCGCCAGGGUGCCUACAGCUACUGCUGCUCCAGCGGGGUUUCGGAGAUCGGAGACUUGCUGCAGGACUAUUUUGAGAACGGGAAGAAAACGAGCAGGAAGAACAACGGAACUCGUCACGUGCACUUCAGUGACACAGUUAAGGUGAACCAGGACAUGUCUGCCUGCCAGGAUGAGAGCAGAAGAUCUGGUAAUAAUAGGCUUGGCCAAGAGCAUUACUCUGGCACUUUUGAAGAAACUGAAAACAGGAAGAACCGAGUGUCUCACAUGAAGAGUGCCCCCUGCAGAGAGAGCUCAUCUAACCAGUCCAAGCCCCCUGUUGGACAAAGGGAUGCUAGUGCUGAACAGGCACGCUUGCAGUUCCCCACCACAGCCACUGAGUCUCCUGUGGACAGAAAGUCCUUCAGUCAAGGAGUCCUUGGAGACCGGAAGUGCACCAGCCCCUCUGUCCUCAAGAAGUUUGGAGCCAUGCUUCAGGAGAAUGAGGGUAAAACGCUUACAGAAUCAGGGGUGGUGACCCAUCAGGGACUGGAGGCAAAGUGUUCCACUCCUGGCUGUCAGCGCCGGGCCCUGGGAGCCACUGGAGGAGCCAGCAAGGCGCCUGUGCGCAUGGCCAUCCAGAAAUGCCAAGGAGAUUGUGGUGUGCUGACAGCAGAGAAAGAUCCCAGCCAAGAAUGGGCUUUGGGAUUGGACUGUAGACACAAGGAUCAGAGGGGAGGCUACAGCGGCUCUAAAGGGUUCCAGGCUCCUCAGCAGGUCCAGAGGAGGCUUCAGGUGUCAGGGAGCCCAAAUAUCCGACCCAGGGCUAACAGUGGGGUGGACAGAGACGGAGGAUCGGGUCAAGCAGAGAAAACUAGGAAGCCUACAGUCCAACAGGUGGAGCCCAAAGGGGACUACAGGCCCCCAAACUUUACCUCUGGGUCUCCGAGGAUUCAGAGGGGACAGGAGCUGCCGGGUUGUGUGCACGUGAGGGACGAAGGACUUAUUGAAUUGCUGGACAUGCUGGAGAUUCAACACGAGUACAGCUCGAGUCCUAGCAGGGAACACGCAGCUUACAAACAAGAGCUACAGCAUGUAAACCCUGCAGAGUUGUCUCCAACCAGACCGAGGAAGAGUUUUUCUCGACCUGCACGCCCUGCCAACCAACGGCCGCCUUCCAGAUGGGCCGGCUGCACCCCUACGGCUAGAAUCACCUCCCCGUCAGGCCCCAUCUACCGCCCUCUGACACGCAGCUACAGCCCCGCUCUCAAGCACCAACCUCUUGUUUCCUAUCCUUUCCAGACAGAGACUGUCAUCAUGUGAACACUUCCCAUUUCCCAUUCUCUCAAACUGUAAAUAGCAUUUCUGUUGAACGUGCUCUGACAGUGCUGCAACGAAAGUGCUCACGGCGAUGUAUUCAUACACAACAUUCUCCAGUGCUGCUGUAGCUCUUAAGCUUCUCUGUGCCAACACACAUUAUUUCUUUGUUGUUUCUCACCCUUAUUCACUUAUUAUGCUUUUUUGUAUUAAAUCAGUAGUUUUUUUUUGUGUAUUGUGAAUUUAGCAUGCAGCCAUGCAUCAAGGGUGCAUGCGUUCAAUCUUCUCAGCCACCAUAUUGCCACAAAACUCAAACUGGAACUACUUGCUGAGGCAACCUGCAAAAUCAAAGUGUGUGUUUUGUUGUCCAAAUGUAUUCAAGCCGUUCAAUUAAUGACUGUGACUAAAGACUUUAAUAUGCCUUUAAUGUAUUUUUCUUGGUAAUAAAUAUGACUGUGCUCAACCGUGAAGACUGACUCAGCAUUGCAUUAUCUUGUUACAUUUAUGAAGGCUCACGACUUACAAUACUGAUUGAUUGCAUGUGCAGCCUAUCAAUAUCUGACACCAGUAGAUCCCUGUAUGCCACAGCUGUGGGGGCUUGAGUGUUUCAUAGCUGAUUGCAAUUGAAGAAUUGUUUGGGCACAAACCUUAAUAGGGCAAGCUAGUUGAGAAAUGCUGAUAUAAAGUUCUACAUUACUUCUCUUAAAUGGGUCCAAGAAGAACUUCUUAGGUGUGUUCUUGCUGUGUCUUUGUAAAUCCAUGCUUUCGUUCUUUUUUUAAACACAGAAAUAGUUUUGUUUACCUGUUUGUAGCUACGGUUUCGCCGACAGCUGCCGGCUUCUUCAGGCUGACGCUGAUGGUGGCGCGUCACUUCCUUCUCCGUUUAUCUGCGGGCAGCAGAGGACGUUGUCGCCCUCUACUGCCCGCUCUCCCCUCUCCGACGAUGCAGUCCCAUGCGUGGUCCAGCGUGUAAACUCCGUCGUCCCUGUUCAUGGUCCCACAUCCACGUCUCCUUAUCUCUAUUGCUUCCUUGAUCCAUCUUUUGUAUUUUUGUUGUUCAGUGGUUAUGAUCCGUGUGCUGUCCCAGUCCAUUAUAUGGUUUUCUCUUAAGCAAUGAUCUGUUACGGCUGACUUUUUUAUUGUACUUUCUGCUUCUUCUUUUGCUGCUCUUGUGUGUUUACGAUUUGCCUCUUUCUCGCACUCCUUUCUGUGUUCUAUUGUCCGUGUAUUGAGUUGGCGUCCGGUUUCUCCUAUGUAUGUUUUAUUGCAUAUUUUGCAUGGGAUUUCGUAGAUGACUCCACAUUUUUGUCCAGCUGAUAUUUUGUCUUUUGGGUGUACUAAUCUGUUUCUAACUGUUGUGUAUGGCUUUGUUGGUGUGUUUAUGUUGUGUUUUUUCAUUGUUGCUCUUAUUUUUUCCGUUAUGCCUCUGAUGUAUGGUAGGGUUAUCACUGGUUUUGGUUCUUGUCUUUCUGGGUUUCUGGUUCUUUUUUUGGGUUGUUCUUUGCUUUCUGUUUUUGUUUGUUGUUUUCCUUUGUUUAUUGCCCAUGUCGGGUAUCUGCAGGUCUUUAAAGCGUGUUGUAUGUGUUUGUCCUCUUGUUUACGGUCUCUCUCUUCUGUUAUUAUGUUUGCUCGGUGAUAUAAUGUUCUGAUUACUGACAUUUUGUGUAUGGUGGGGUGUUCUGAUGUCCAUAAUA